UACGGAGGGUGCAAACGUUGCUCGGAAUCAUUGGGCGUAAAGCGCACGUAGGUGGCCUGUUAAGUCGGGUGUGAAAGCCCUGGGCUCAACCCAGGAAGUGCACUCGAAACUGGCGGGCUUGAAUAUGGAAGAGGGUCGCGGAAUUCCCGGUGUAGAGGUGAAAUUCGUAGAUAUCGGGAGGAACACCAGUGGCGAAGGCGGCGACCUGGGCUAAUAUUGACGCUGAGGUGCGAAAGCGUGGGGAGCAAAACAGG
This 254-nucleotide ribosomal RNA is filed under the name uncultured bacterium. RNAcentral's name for it is "partial 16S ribosomal RNA". It matches the Rfam family "Bacterial small subunit ribosomal RNA", at positions 524 to 776 of the family's 1533-position model. The record is from RNAcentral.